GAUGAACGCUGGCGGCGUGCCUAAUACAUGCAAGUCGAGCGAACAGACGAGGAGCUUGCUCCUCUGACGUUAGCGGCGGACGGGUGAGUAACACGUGGAUAACCUACCUAUAAGACUGGGAUAACUUCGGGAAACCGGUGCUAAUACCGGAUAAUAUAUUGAACCGCAUGGUUCAAUAGUGAAAGACGGUUUUGCUGUCACUUAUAGAUGGAUCCGCGCCGCAUUAGCUAGUUGGUAAGGUAACGGCUUACCAAGGCAACGAUGCGUAGCCGACCUGAGAGGGUGAUCGGCCACACUGGAACUGAGACACGGUCCAGACUCCUACGGGAGGCAGCAGUAGGGAAUCUUCCGCAAUGGGCGAAAGCUUGACGGAGCAACGCCGCGUGAGUGAUGAAGGUCUUCGGAUCGUAAAACUCUGUUAUUAGGGAAGAACAAAUGUGUAAGUAACUAUGCACGUCUUGACGGUACCUAAUCAGAAAGCCACGGCUAACUACGUG
RNAcentral lists this ribosomal RNA (497 nucleotides) under uncultured bacterium. Its description in RNAcentral is "partial 16S ribosomal RNA". It matches the Rfam family "Bacterial small subunit ribosomal RNA", at positions 28 to 507 of the family's 1533-position model. The record is from RNAcentral.